GUCCAAUGUGUUGAGUUCAGCUCUGGGCCUCUCCCCAGUUCCGGUAAUUAUUCAUUGGCACAGAAAUGGCAUAGUGGCUCGGAGUAGGAAGUAGACAUGCCCAGCCACUUGAUUCCACUCUAGCCAGCAUGUUAUGGAA
Small nucleolar RNA from Oncorhynchus kisutch (coho salmon), 139 nucleotides. NCBI's taxonomy places the organism in Eukaryota, Metazoa, Chordata, Actinopteri, Salmoniformes, Salmonidae. The record is from Ensembl.